This 146-nucleotide unclassified non-coding RNA is filed under the name soil metagenome. RNAcentral describes it as "partial internal transcribed spacer 1". The record is from RNAcentral.
UAAUAAGUGUUUUAUGGCACUUUUUAAAUCCAUAUCCACCUUGUGUGCAAUGUCAGGUCGAUCUUCUCCAUGGAGAUCGACCAAACAUCAACCUUUAUCUUUUAACUCUUUGUCUGAAAAAUAUUAUGAAUAAACAAUUCAAAAUA